This 500-nucleotide ribosomal RNA is filed under the name uncultured bacterium. RNAcentral describes it as "partial 16S ribosomal RNA". It matches the Rfam family "Bacterial small subunit ribosomal RNA", at positions 30 to 523 of the family's 1533-position model. The record is from RNAcentral.
AUUGAACGCUGGCGGAAUGCUUUACACAUGCAAGUCGAACGGCAGCACGGACUUCGGUCUGGUGGCGAGUGGCGAACGGGUGAGUAAAGUAUCGGAACGUGCCCAGUCGUGCGGGAUAACGUAGUGAAAAUUACGCUAAUACCGCAUACGAUCAAUGGAUGAACGUGGGGGAGCGCAAGAACCCGAGCUCUUGGAGCCGCCGAUAUCAGAUUAGGUAGUUGGUGGGGUAAAGGCCCACCAAGCCAACGAUCUGUAGCUGGUCUGAGAGGACGACCAGCCACACGGGAACUGAGACACGGUCCAGACUCCUACGAGAGGCAGCAGUGGGGAAUUUUGGACAAUGGGCGAAAGCCUGAUCCAGCCAGUGCGCGUGCAGGAUGAAGGCCCUCGGGUGGUAAACUGCUUUUGUACAGAACGAAAAGGUUUCUACUAAUACUAGGAGCUCAUGACGGAACUGUAAGAAUAAGCACCGGCUAACUACGUGCCAGCCGCCGCAGUAA